Molecule: ribosomal RNA, 492 nt
Filed under: uncultured bacterium
Lineage: Bacteria
Description: partial 16S ribosomal RNA
Rfam family: Bacterial small subunit ribosomal RNA
Source: RNAcentral
AGUGAACGCUGGCGGUAGGCCUAACACAUGCAAGUCGAACGGCAGCACAGUAAGAUCUUGCUCUUACGGGUUGCGAGUGGCGGACGGGUGAGGAAUAUAUCGUAAUCUACUUUUUCGUGGGGGAUAACGUAGGGAAACUUACGCUAAUAUCGCAUACGAUCUACGGGUGAAAGCAGGGGAUCUUCGGACCGUGCGCGAUUGAACGAGCCGAUGUCGGAUUAGCUAGUUGGCGGGGUAAAGGCCCACCAAGGCGACGAUCCGUAGCUGGUCUGAGAGGAUGAUCAGCCGCACUGGAACUGAGACACGGUCCAGACUCCUACGGGAGGCAGCAGUGGGGAAUAUUGGACAAUGGGCGCAAGCCUGAUCCAGCCAUACCGCGUGGGUGAAGAAGGCCUUCGGGUUGUAAAGCCCUUUUGUUGGGAAAGAAAAGCAGCAGGUUAAUACCCCGCUGUUCUGACGGUACCCAAAGAAUAAGCACCGGCUAACUUCGUG